AUGUUCUCUCCAUCAUCUCUACUGCUCCUGCUGGCAGCUGCUUCCUGUGGACGCUGUUAUGAACUGAGUCAGCCUGGAUCCAUGACGGUCCAACCAGGCCAGGUUCUCUCCAUCAACUGCAAGGUUUCAUAUUCAGUUACGAGUUAUGGUACAGGUUGGAUCCGACAGGCUGCAGGAGAAGCUCUGGAGUGGAUCGGAUAUAUCAGCAGUGGUGGCAGCUUAUAUUACAAUGAGAAACUGAAAAAUAAGUUCAGCAUCUCCAGAGACACGAGCAGCAACACCAUAACAUUACGAGGCCAGAAUGUACAAGCUGAAGAUUCAGCUGUGUAUUACUGUGCGAGAGACACGAUGAUAAAGAUCAACAACAAGCCUGUACAAAAACUCCCUCAGAACUUGAGGAAUCAUGAUUUACAGCUUUUCCAGUCAGGAGUGUUUAAGUCAUUUUGCACAGUGAAGUAA
Molecule: non-coding RNA, 459 nt
Organism: Trichomycterus rosablanca
Lineage: Eukaryota; Metazoa; Chordata; Actinopteri; Siluriformes; Trichomycteridae
Source: the annotation of a RefSeq genome assembly